This 612-nucleotide long non-coding RNA is filed under the name Heterocephalus glaber (naked mole-rat). RNAcentral describes it as "lncRNA (ENSHGLG00000042091.1)". Lineage: Eukaryota; Metazoa; Chordata; Mammalia; Rodentia; Bathyergidae. The record is from RNAcentral.
CUCGGAUCAGAAUGCUGUUUCCCCAUGCUCUUCCAAGGCUCAUUGAGCACUGACCCCAGCUCUGCUCAUGCCCCACACAGGUCACCCUCUGGGUAGCCCACUGUGUGGAUUCCAUGAAGCAUGCCCUUCUCCCACACAGUCAUCAGCAGUAUCAAUGACCUCCCUCUUCCCAGCUCCAUCAAAGCCAGCCCUGGAAUUAUUAAAGAAAGUCUGACUCCAAGGCAGCCUUUUCUUUCCUCUGCUGAGUGAUUUUCAUUCCUUACAAGAGGAGUUAUCUACAAGCAACAUCGUUCCUGAGGCCAACUGGUCCUCAGUGUCACUUGAGCAUCUGCUGUAUUGUCCUCCUCCUGUGUGGGUCACCGUUGUUGUCUGUCUCUGCAGUCACCAUGGUCUCCUGUCUGAACAGCCCCUCCACCUGGAGCUCUUUGUUUUCCAACUCAGCCACUGUUGACAGCAUAGGCACCUUUGUCUGACACCAUCCAAGCCUUCUUCCACUUGCAGUGUUGUGCUGACUCCAGCAAUGACAGACAUCAGUUAAAGUGAUUCUGAGUCUGGGAAGAGAAGAGAGCAUGGGGAGAGCUGAGAAGCGCCAGCUCUGGAGAGGUCAGUUUU